RNAcentral lists this long non-coding RNA (5774 nucleotides) under Zostera marina. RNAcentral describes it as "long non-coding RNA (ZMAR_LNC000650)". Lineage: Eukaryota; Viridiplantae; Streptophyta; Magnoliopsida; Alismatales; Zosteraceae. The record is from RNAcentral.
CCCUCCUUUGGGUCCACUUGGUCUUUUAUACUCACAUUGUGUGUAGUGGACAACCUUCACAAUGUGAGUUAAUUGGCUUCAAAGGUGAAGCACAAUGGCUCGAGCCAUCUCGAGCCAAGCUUGAGCCUGUUCAGGGGUGUGCUCAUCUAAUUGAGGCCCUCUGUUAAUACUUCCAAUCAAGGUUUAAAAACCGACGGUUAACCGGCUGACCGGUAAAAUACUGCUAACCGGUGACCGGUUAGUUGGGAUGGGUAAAUGGGUUGAUGGGUCGGGUCUAACCCCUACCCGACCCGGUCACCCGCCUCGUUUUAAAAAAAGGCCAUUAAUUACCUGUUUAUUUUAAAGGCUUUAUUUAAUAAAGCCCAUUACGUUUCAUUUAAUAAAGCCUCAUUUGAAGGCUUUAUUUUAAUAAGUUUAAAUCUUAUAAGUCUCUCCUUAUAAGUUUAAAAACUUCACAUAAGGCUUAGGAUAUUUUGAAUUACAUUAUGGAAUUAAUUACUUAUUUGCAUUACUAUUUUGAAUGACUAUUUUGAAUUACUAUAUUGUUUAUGAUAUUUUUAUUUAUAUAAACAGGGAUAUAAACAUGGAAUAGAUAUAUAAGUAUAUAACAUAAUUUUUGUUUUUAAAAAAAAAAAAUACGAAAAUACCCCUACCGGUUAACCGGAAAACCGGUAAGCCAGAACCGGUUACCGGUCAACCGGUUUUUAAACCUUGCUUCCAAUAUUAGGGGUAAAAAGGUAAUUUGCAGAAUUACACAAAGAACUAAGAUGCUUUGCAUCAGGCGCCUCUUCUCUCAUGGCAAUUGUCUUCAAUUGUGCAUCUUCUGCCUCUGGAGGGUAAUAUUUUCUCAAGUCCGAAAUAUUAAAUGUGGAAGAGAUGUUGAAUUCUGCAGGAAUAUCCACCACAUAAGCAUUAUCGUUUAUCUUCUUUAAGAUUUCACAUGGUCCAAAAUUCUUUGCUUUUAACUUAGAGUAUGAUCCAGCUGGGUGUCUGUCUUUAUGAAGGUGUACCAUUACAAAUUCGCCAACUUCAAAGGAUUUAAAUCUUUUGGACCUAUUUGCUGCUUCUUUGUAUUUUUCAUUGGCUGCCUCAAGAGAUUUCUGAACUUGUUCAUGAAUUUUCUUGCUGUUUGACACGAUAUCUUCCACCACAGCAUUGUUUGAUGGAAUUGAAUUAAUGUCCACCACUUGUUUGGGUAAUUGGCCAUAAGCUGCCAAGAAUGGGGAACACCCUGUAGAUUUAUUUGGCAUACUGUUGAAGGCAAACUCAGCUUGGGGAAGACACUGAUCCCACUGUUUAGGGUUGUUACCGACCAAGACUCUAAGAAGGUUUCCCAAUGAUCUGUUUACUACUUCUGUCUGUCCAUCUGUCUGAGGGUGGCAGGUGGAACUGAAUUUCAGAUUAGUAUCAAAUCUGGCCCAUAAAAUUCUCCAAAAAUGUGAUAGGAACUUAGAGUCCCUGUCUGAAACUAUGGACUGUGGCACACCAUGGAGUCUUACCACCUCUUUAAAAAAUAGUUUUGCAAUAUAAGAGGCAUCACUGGGUUUUUUACAAGGUAAGAAGUGGACCAUUUUGGAGAAUCUGUCCACUACCACGAAUAUUGAAUCAAAUCCUGCCUUAGUUUUAGGUAAUCCAAGCACGAAAUCCAUGGAAAGAUCUGUCCAAGGUUGAGUUGGAACUGGUAGAGGCAUAUAUAAUCCAGUAUUCUGUCUGACUCCUUUUGCUUCUUGGCAAGUUUGACACCUUUUAAUAAAUUUUUCUGUGUCCCUCUUUAAAGAUGGCCAAUAAAAUUUAGAUUCUAGCUGAAAAAUCACUGUCUCUCCCAAAGUGUCCUGCUAAACCCCCAACAUGUGUCUCCUGCAUUAGUUGUAAUCUGAGUGAAGUUUUUGGGAUGCAUAACCUGUUCUGUUUGAAUAGAAAUCCCUGCUCAAUUUUAAACUCUGCUGUCUGUUUUCCAGAUUUACAUUCUUUCCAAAUUUCAGAAAAAUCAUCAUCACUGUCAUAUGAAUUUCUAAUAGCAUCCAAAGCUGUUACUGUGGCUCUCAUGAUGGUGAGCACAGACCUUCUUCUGCUUAAGGCAUCAGCUACUGUGUUGUUCUUGCCUGCUUGGUGUUUAAUUGUGAAAUCAAAUUUUUGUAAGUACGAAAUCCACCUUGCGUGCAUUCUGUUUGUGUUUGCCGAUUUAUUGAUGUGUUUUAGUGCUAGAUGAUCAGUAGACACUACAAAUUCCCUCCCACUCAGAUAUGGUUCCCAUACCUUACAAGCUCUCACUAAGGCAUACAACUCCUGCUCGUAAGUUGUCCAAUUUCUUCUUCCCAUUGAUAAUUUCUCACUGUGAAAUGCUAUGGGGUGCCCUCCUUGGCUCAGCACUGCCCCCACUCCCAUAAUGCUUGCAUCACAUUCUAAUUCAAACACUUUUUCAAAGUCUGGAAGUGCAAGUACAGGUGCUGAUUUUAGUUUUUCUUUGAGUACUUUAAAGGCUAAUUCAGCUUCCUUUGUCCAUAGGAACUAUCCUUUCUUCAAGCAAUCAAAAAUUGGGCCCGCAAUAGUGCUAAAGUUCUUUAUGAACCUCCUAUAGAAUGAGGCCAGACCUAGGAAGCUUCUUACUUCAGUGAUGUUUGUUGGUGCAGGCCAAUUAUCCACUGCUUCAGUUUUCUGUGGAUCUACUUGUAACCCUUGCCUCCCAACUAUGAAUCCAAGAAAAGGUACUUCAUGAACUAUGAAUUCACAUUUUUUUAAAUUUAGCCUCAGUUUGUUGUUAUCCAGUAUAACAAGUACUUUUCUGAUAUCCUCCAAGUGAUCUUCCUUUGUGUGGCUGAAUAUAAGUAUAUCAUCAAAAUAUACUACUACACAUAUUCUUAGGAGGGGUUUAAGGAUCUCUGUCAUCAUCCUCAUGAAUGUUGAUGGAACAUUGGACAAACCAAAUGGCAUUACGAGCCACUCAUAAAGACCUUGCCUUGUUUUAAAGGUUGUCUUCCACUCAUCCCCACCUCUGAUUCUGAUUUGGUGAUACCCACUUUUGAGAUUCAGUUUGGUGAAAAAUUGUGCACCAUUCAGCUGAUCAAGAAGCUCUUCUAGCCUUGGUAUGGGGAAGCGAUAUUUAAUAGUUAUCUUGUUAAUGGCUCUGCUGUCCACACAAAAUCUCCAAUCACCAUUUUUCUUUGGUACUAACAAGGCAGGUACAGCACACGGGCUUAUGCUAGGUCUAAUGAAUUCUUCUUUCAGUAGCUCUUCCACUUGACUCUGUAAAAUAUCGGUUUCUUUAGGACUCAAUCUGUAGUGAGGUAGAUUGGGUAUAGAAGCUCCUGGUACGAAGUCAAUUCUGUGGUCUAGGUCCCUGAUUGGUGGAAGUUCUGAUGCUUUCUCACGUGUUAUUGCUGGAAAUUCAUUUAGAAUUUUUUUUACACGAUGUGGAACUGAUCCAGAAUUUUCCUCAGUUCUCUCCUUAGAAAUUAGUGCAAAUCCUUGUAAUUCAGUCCUUAAUUCUUUUUCAAAGAAUUUAUGAGACUGGAUUAGCAAAUUGGCCUUUUCCUGGGCUGUUUCUGAAUUUGGAGGAAGAGGUAGUAAGGCUACUCUUUUAUCAUUUACUUUGAUAAUAUACUGAUUCAGACGCCCUCUAUGAUUUGCAUCUACAUCAAAGUUCAAACUGCCACGGUCUCCCUAGAAGUACAUGGGUUGCAUCCAUGUCAACUAUGUCACAAUCUACCACCCCUUUAUAAUUUUUUCCAAUUGAUAAUGGUUCUUUGCAGUAAUAUUUUACCUCUACUUGGUCCUCACUUUUGAUCCAGCCCACUGUAUACGGGUGGGGGUGGUUUUCAAAUUUCAGUCCCAACUUCUUUGCUGCUUUUUCUGCGAUGAGGUUGUCAGUGCUUCCAUUAUCGAUAAUUAUCUUGCAAACUUUCCCAAGGAUGAUUCCCUUUGUCUUAAACAGAUUUGACCUCUGAGUUAGGUCAGCAACAGGAUGAACACUGCAUGUCUUAUGUAUUAGACAUGACAGGCUUGGUCCCUCAUCUGGCUAAUCCUCCUCUUCAGGUUCAGAAUCUGAUUNNNNNNNNNNNNNNNNNNNNNNNNNNNNNNNNNNNNNNNNNNNNNNNNNNNNNNNNNNNNNNNNNNNNNNNNNNNNNNNNNNNNNNNNNNNNNNNNNNNNUUCAUUUGGUCCCCUAUUUUCAAAUAUUCUGACUUGUCCCCUCUUUGGACAUGUAUUUGAUUUAUGUCCAAGCUCUUGACAUCUAUAGCAUUUAAUUCUUGCCAUUUGUUGCAAUUUCUUUUCCUUGUGGGGUAGGCAAGAUUCCUUUCUCUUUAUCAGAUGCUGUUUUGCUAGAGGAACUCCCAAAAUUGGAAUUAUAAGAACUAUAAAAUUUGCUAGAAUGUUGCUCUAGCCUUUCAGCCAAAUUAAUUGCACUCGAUAGGCUGUACUGAGGGUUGACAGCCAUUUUAUACUGCAAUUUCUCUUUCAGUCCACUCACAAAUCUAGUGGCUAAUUGCUCUUCAGACUCUUCAAGUUGUGUUCUGGCCGAUAAUCUGUGGAAUUCAUUCGCGUAUUCAGAUACUGAUCUGUUGCCUUGUUUACCACUGUUGGUACUGAAUGAAAAGUGUGCUCUCAUAAUCUGUUGGCAAAAACCUUUGUCUCAUCAGUUUCCUCAUUUUAUCCCAUGUUCUCACUUUUUUUUUUUGGUGUUUUGCCCUUAGAUAUACUGUUUGAUCCCACCAGCUUUGUGCUGUCCCUUUUAAUCUUAGAGCCACUAACUUCACUUUCCUUGACUCGGAGGUGUUCAUAUAAUCAAAAUAUUUUUCCACCUCCGAAAUCCAAUCCAAAAAUGUUUCAAUAUGCAUUUGGCCAUUGAAUUGGGGAAGAUCUGUCUUCAUGCGAUAGUCAUUGUAGUCAUCCCCAUAAUUAUUUUCAUAUUGAUCCACCGCACCACCUCUGUCUUGUUGAUAAUUUCUGUUAUUUCUCUGAAAAUAUCUCUGAUCGUUUCUCCUCCUAUACUGCCUAAAUUCAGGCUGAAACAGGUCUGGAUCAGCUUCAUCUGACGAAUCUGAAUCUGGUUGUUGCUGCUGAUUCCGAUUUGGUUGCUGCUGGCGAUCGGGUAGUUCUUGCCUUGGCGGUAAUGGAGGUUGUUGAAUAGCUGGUCUGCGCAGUUCAUUUACUGCCACUGUUAGGUCUGUCAAUGCUCGCACCAGUCGAUCAAACUCCUGCCUGGAAACAUUCUGUUCUGCCAUAUCCGUCCAGAGAAGAAGAAAAAAUACCGCAAAUUCGUCCAGAGAAGAAGCCGCAAAUCCGUCCAGGAAUGAGUCGCAAAUCCUAGUCUGAUACCACUUAAUAUAGAACAGGACUGUUCUAUGGAGAGAUGAAGAAAGAAGAUUGGAAACUUCUUGUAAGAAGGGAUGUAGAUCUGGAAUUUUCAAGGAUUCCACCAAGGAUCAAUUCUGAUCGGGAAUAGCAAAUAGGAAAAAAAAACGGAAAUAGGAAGAUAGAAAGGUAGGGAAAAAACGGGAGAGAGAGAAAUAAUACCUUCUCAAUAAUAAAAUAAUAACUAGCCCCUCCUUUGGGUCCACUUGGUCUUUUAUACUCACAUUGUGUGUAGUGGACAACCUUUACAAUGUGAGUUAAUUGGCUUCAAAGGUGAAGCACAAUGGCUCGAGCCAUCUCGAGCCAAGCUUGAGCCUGUUCAGGGGUGUGCUCAUCUAAUUGAGGCCCUCUGUUAAUACUUCCAAUAUUAGGGGUAAAAAGGUAAUUUGCAGAAUUACACAAAGAACUAAGAUGCUCUGCAUCA